Molecule: long non-coding RNA, 235 nt
Filed under: Setaria viridis
Lineage: Eukaryota; Viridiplantae; Streptophyta; Magnoliopsida; Poales; Poaceae
Description: long non-coding RNA (SVIR_LNC007986)
Source: RNAcentral
GGAUGGUCAAGAGGGAGGAAUUGUUGAUGUUUGUCGAACAAAGAAAACUUGCCACCCUUUGUCAACCAAAUGAACUUCAAAGAUGCCUUGCAUACUGGGCACGGGAACUUCCCGUGAACACACCAGCCGCAGAAUAUCCCAUACGCCGGCAAGUCAUGCAGGGAGUACUGGUACCAAACAUGCAUUUUGAAGUUUGUCUUUGUAGCUCGAUUGUAUGUCCAUACCCCUUCCUCCC